Molecule: ribosomal RNA, 253 nt
Filed under: uncultured bacterium
Lineage: Bacteria
Description: partial 16S ribosomal RNA
Rfam family: Bacterial small subunit ribosomal RNA
Source: RNAcentral
GACGAACCGUGCGAACGUUGUUCGGAAUCACUGGGCUUAAAGGGCGCGUAGGCGGCUCUGUUGGUCGUGGGUGAAAUCCCCCAGCUUAACUGGGGAACUGCCUACGAUACCGUGGAGCUCGAGGGAGGAAGGGGCGGUCGGAACUGUCGGUGGAGCGGUGAAAUGCGUUGAUAUCGACAGGAACGCCGGUGGCGAAAGCGGACCGCUGGCCCUCUUCUGACGCUGAGGCGCGAAAGCCAGGGGAGCGAACGGG